Molecule: ribosomal RNA, 163 nt
Filed under: uncultured bacterium
Lineage: Bacteria
Description: partial 16S rRNA
Rfam family: Bacterial small subunit ribosomal RNA
Source: RNAcentral
UGGGGAAUAUUGCACAAUGGGCGCAAGCCUGAUGCAGCCAUGCCGCGUGUGUGAAGAAGGCCUUGGGUUGUAAAGCACUUUCAGCGGGGAGGAAGGCGGUGAGGUUAAUAACCUCAUCGAUUGACGUUACCCGCAGAAGAAGCACCGGCUAACUCCGUGCCAG